UCUCCAUCUCUUGACCUCGUUAUCUGCCCACCUCAGCCUCCCAAAGUGCCAGGAUUACAGGUGUGAGCCACCGUGACCGGCGAGCUGUGCCACUUUCAAAGCUGAGCCCUUGAGCUUCAGUUUCUUCUGAAAGGUGGGCAGUACUUAGCACUUAGGUUUAAAGGAUUCAGCUGGUUAAUGUGAAACAUUCAGCUCCAGUAUUAUGUCUCAAAGUCACUGUGUCAGUGAACCGGCAUCCCUCAUCGUGGAAAGACUGUCUUAAACGAGUGCUUUAUUCUGUCCGUACGUCUUCCACUUGUGAAUUACAACUGCAAAAAUGUAUCUUUCUAUAGUAAGGUUGAAGUGAAGUGAAGCUAUUUCCCCGCUUCGGAUUCUUUGGUCUUUCCGGAGCUGCCAGGGGUCUGUGACCCCAUUUGGUAAGGACUCAGUGCCGCACACUGCCUCUCCAUCUCUGGUCCCCGCUGCGGUCACAGCGAAUGGUAGGUUUUCAGUGUGUGUUAGAACCCUUUCAGUCUCGAGCCGUUUCCCUGUGGCUGCAUUUUCAGAUGAAUGUUGCCAGUUCCCCACCUUCUGUCUCCAUCUCACACUGGUGUCUGCCCCACCUCAGUCCUCUGUGGGUGUUGGGACAUGGAGCUGGGUGGUUCUGAGUGCUGAGCGGAGAGUAAGGUCAUCAGAUGACUUUGCUGUUCAUGGCCCUGGGUUCUGGUGCUCUCAUCCGAAGCCCUCCCUGCCCAUCCCUUGGGCCGUGGAGCGUUUCUUCUGUUCCUGUACCCUAUUAAUAGCUCUCCUAACACAGUGGCUCACCUGUCUCUCCCAUGCCAGGCCACAGUGCCUUUCAAGGCAAGAUCUGUCUCUUCAUCCAUGCAGCCUCAGGUCCUGGCAGUAAUGGGCACUCACAUGCCUUUUGGAUGAGCUGUUCUUUGGAAAUAGUGUCCUUAGCUCCUGGCAUGUAAUAGGCAUUCGGCGAAUACUUGCUGAAUAAAUGAGUGGAAAAAUCUCAGAUCUUCAGACAGCUUCAGAGAGUGUUUAAAAUCCUUCUGCUUAUCGGAUCCAAAGGACCUUCUCUCUGCUGCACCUUCCACCGGGGCUCUGGGGUGGCCAAUCAGGAUCUCUCACCUGAGGCCACCUCAUCCCCCUGAGAGCCCGGGUGGAAUCAAAAGUGCCUCCUACUCGGUCCCUGGGGCAGGAGGGCCAGCAGGCCAGAGCGGGUCACACCCUGCUGUAGAGAAGCAAGGCCUCUCCAAUUCCAGAGCCCUUGGCUGGCCACCCAGCCACAGAGGCCAGGCAGGCUGGAGCCUCUGAAGAUGAGGGGUGGGGAUGUUGGCUUCUGUCUCUGAAAUUCGUCUGCUCGUGCUUGUGAUGCCGAAAUGAGCAGUUAGCUCUGUGAUUCCUGAGCCUGGGCCGACCUCCAUGUCCUCGGUGCUGUUGGAAAGGACCAGGGAGGGGCAGUGUCAGGGCCACCGCGUGCCUAGUGUGCCCUUCAGACCGAUUUGACAUGAAGAGGAAUCUUCCUGGCUGCUGGGUGAGGCAAGACCGUAGUGGUGAACACACUGUUCCAGUCGGCGGGCUGGGAGCUUCAUCAGAGUGAGAGUGCUGGCAGCCACCACUGCUGCUGGAGCCGGGAGGGCCAGGCAGGGCCAGCCAAGCUGGACCACGAGCUGCUGCGGCAGGGCUGGGGCCUGAGAGUCCUCCGAGGGACAGGAGGCAGGUCCGCUCUCCACAGGGUGAGGGAGAGAAGGGGACCUGAGAGCGUCGGGGUAGGGCCUAGGAGCUGCACUUCAGCCAUGAGGAGGGGCAGCCGUGGAUGGUUUUUAGCCUGGGGAGUGACGGGCCAUGCUUCCCUUUGGGACGGCCCCAGCAGGACAGUGCCUCGCCAGUCCACAUGAGCCAGCGGCCGCUGUGCCAUGCCUGCUCUUCCAGGCCGCCUCCACCCCCACAGCCGCGCCCCUGACUCUCGUCCCUUGUGGACAUCGGCCCUUCCGACAGCUUGUGUGUGCCCCGUGAUGCCCCCCCCCCAUCCCCACCUAGCACUGUUCCAGGUGGGCGGGCAUCCACUCAGCCUCUCCCUGGUGCUCACCCAACUCCCUCCCAGACAGAAAUGAGACCAGCCGAGACACUCUGUGGGAGGCUGUCCAUGAGCCCCAGAGCCCCAGGAGGGCCCUCCAGGCUGGUCCCACCAGCCCAGGGUGCAGCACCGCCUGGGGUGAGGUGGCGGCUGCAGGUGGCUGGCAGUUCAGAUACUGGAGCUCCCAGUGGGAGGGAUGGCUAGCCACUCACCCAGAACCUUCCCGGAAUGGGGGAGGAGAGAGCCCACUUGUGGCAGCAUCAACAGGAUUUUGAGAACACAGUUCUGGAGCUGAAGGCCUGCAGCGAGCCUGGUGCAGGAUGAGGCGUCAGACCUGGGCCCCUCCCAGGCCGCUGGGUUCCAGUGCUCCCGACAGGCCCUCUGUGCCCAACAAGCCUCACCCUGGUCAUGAGGGGCCCAGGGCAGGUUUUCUUUUCAGGCUGAGAACUGGGCCUCUGGGCCUGGUGAGGGGCAGUGGCCCAGUGGUGGCCACCUCCCAAGGCUCCUCUGUGGAGUAGGACACCCCUGCCAGGAAGGGCCGGUGUCCCAGCCCAGCCCUGGGGUGGGGAGCAGAGCCUCUCCCUAGGAGCCUGGGCUUCAAGCCUUCUCUCCCCACCCAGCCAGCCUGGUGGGGGAAGGAACCACCUCGGAUUUGAUUGAGGAAGACGUUUUUUUUUCUUUUUCUUUCUUUAUUUAAAGGGCUUUCCAGUAAAAAUCGGAAAACCUGCUAGUCAAAUUCUAGAAGAGCUGUGACACUGGAAAAGACAUUUUUGUAGCUAAGUUCAUGAACAAAUUCACACGCUCCACACUGCCGCCUUCUCGGCCUCCCUUUCCCCAGCCGAUCUCCAUCACCUGCCCCUGCCCUCAAAGCACCGAGUCCCCCAGGGCCUGUGCCUCAGGGCAGCUGCCAGGACUGCCAGUCCCCACCAGGGGCUGUCUCCCUCCCUGGGGGACACGCUCAGAGCUGCACUGGCUGGGGAGGCUCUGGGCGGAAGGGUGGAGAGACAAAGAGGUCUUUGUGUCCCUCUGGCUGGAUGGGAGGACAGACAGGUCAGCCAAGGCUGUGUGACUGGUGAGGCCCACCCAAGGUCCCAGACUCCUGCCACCACCUACCUGGGGCCCUGACAUGUGCAAGACAUCUCUGUGUGCCUCAGUUUCCCGGCUGCGAGGUGGGGUCAGGCCACGCACCAGCCUGCCUCCCCACCUGGCUUCCCGCCCGGCGUCACCAGCCCUCACAGCUUCAUGUUCCUGCGGUUUACCACUUUGGUGUCUUUCCUGGCCCCUUCCCCACGGGCACGUGAACUCGCCGCAUCCCCAGUGCUUUCACAGACUGGUGAGGGCUGGGAAGGGCAGACCCACAGAGGGCCAUAGCCGUGUGGGGUGGGGCACCCAGGACUGCUGCGUGGACCAGGAGGGAGGAAGAAGACCAGAAGCCGUGUCCUGGCAGCUCGGAGGCCCUGCGCCUGCAGAGGCCGCUGCGGGGCAAGGUCAGGCGGGGCCGGGAUCUGGCUCUGGCCUAGGUGAGGGGUGGCCAGGUGAGCAGAAGGAGCUCCCCAGGGCCGCCUCUGUCACCUCAUUUUCCUGCCAGGCCUGGGGCAGGGAGGGUGCCCAGCAAGCAUCUGCAGGCUGACAGAAGGGCAUGGUGCCCGAGGCUCAGUGUGGCUGGGAGCCAGGACAGAGCCAUCUUCCCGCCUCUGGGUCCCAGGCCAGCCCUUCCCAGGUUGGGCAGGCUGGGCCUAGAGAGGCACCAGGGCUCUGCUCACAGGGACAGAAAUGGAUGCGGAGGGCCAGCCGGGUUCCUUGAGGUCCCUCUCCCUUCUGCUGUCUCUGGGUGUACCAGUCACCCAGAGAGGGUGAGAGUGGAACGGCCGCUGUCUGGUGCUGGGUCACGGGCAGAAACAGCCUCAUGGCCAGGCCACCUGAUGGCCAUUCCCACAGGAAGGACUGGCUUCUGUGCUGUGUCCCAGCUCUGGCAUGACCAAGCCAUCCUCUGACCACCAGCAGCCACGCCUGGCUUCAGAGAAGCCAGAGAGCCCAGUGGGCCACGUGGACCCCAGCGGGCACCACGUGCCAGAUGUCAGCUGCAGUCAGUCUCCAACCACAGUGCCUGCGCUCUGCCCCACCCUGCCUCAUCGUCCUCAGAGGGCUUAGCACGAUGCCAGGGGCCCCGCCACCUGAGACCCUGAAGACGCCAAACUUGUUCCGUUCCUGCUUGUAUCCCCAGUACCUAGAGCAGCACCUGGCUCAACACGCUGACACCUGUGGGUGCACUCUGCAGGUGGCGUGGGCCCCGGGGGCAGCAGGAGCAGAGCCCAGGGGGACGGUUUUGCCUCCUGAGUCGGGGAACAUGCUGCAAAGCUCUGUGGGCACCUGUCUUGUGGGGCACGGGGGGUCAGCAGGAACCGGCACCCUCAGGCGUGGCUGGGUGUACAUGAGCUCUGUGCGUGUGCCACCAGGAUCACCCAUGUUGGGGGAGUCAGGGCCCCGCUGGGUGUACCCUUUACCUGGAGCCUGGCACAGAGGCAGGGCCUUCGGGUGGAGGGGCAUGCCCUUGCUGAUGGCCAGAGAUGAAAGUGAGACCCAGAAAGAGAUCAGGAAACUGGGAUGUUCAGAUUCUCCCGGGGGCCCCUCCAACUCUGCUCCUCGGGCGCAGCCGGCAUUUCUCUGCACGUGGGGAUGUAAAGGAAAAUGAAGACUUUUCAAAAGCAGAGCCCAGAGCCAGGGCCGGGCACACUGGAGGCCCUGGAAGAACUUCAGGCAGCGGGUAGGGGACAGCGCCAGGACUGCCAGGGCUUCCUGGGCCCCACAAGCCAAGGGAGGUUUGGAGGCUUUGCUGAGUGCCCCUGGGGGCAGCAGUGGGGUUGGGGGAGGGGGGUGGGAAAGGAUUUGGGGGCAGUGAGGACGGCACCAGGGGAUGCGGGCACCCAGGGUUCUGGCCUGGCUGGCAGGAGGAGGGGUGAGCCAUGGGGGCGGGGUCACAGAAGCAUGGGCAGCAGAACCCACUGGGCCUCGCCGAUAGCUGCUUAUUAAAGGUGCUGGGGUACAAAAAUUAGCUGGGCGUGGUGGCGGGCGCCUGUAGUCCCAGCUGCUCGGGAGGCUGAAGCAUGAGAAUUGCUUGAACUCAGGAGGCAGAGGUUGCAGUGAGCCGAGAUCGUGCCACUGCACUCCAGCCCGGGCGACAGAGCAAGACUAUCACACGCAAAAAAUAAAAAAUGGAAAAAAAAAAUUAAAAAACGUGCUGGGGAUGUCAGGGUGCAGGCGUGGGGCAGCGAGGCGCCCAGCUGCCUUCUUGAGCUGUGGUCUGGUCUGGGCAUUGCCUGCAGAUGGCCACAGCAGGCCCAGGGUGCUCUUGGCAGCCUGGGGCUCCUGGGCGUGUGUGCCCCUUCCUCUUGCAUCCUGGUUUCAUCUCCCCGGAAAGGGCAUCUUCCAGCCCUUAAUCCUGACCCAGCCCCUGAAAGGAAAAGCAGGCAUCCCAGCACCAAUGUGGCUAUGCAGGUGGUCCUGUGGAGCAGGCCAUGGGGGCCUGGGGAAGAGUGUGCAGGCUGGACGGCUGGAGCAAGGACCCCCAGGUUGGAGCCUGGCAGGCAGGUGAGAGUCUGCAGGGCCAGAUCCCACAGAGCCUUGGGGCAGCGGGCCCCUACAGGGGCAGGACUGCAUCCUGGAGAUCAGUGGCUCCCACAGAGAGCACAGCACCAGUCCCAGGCUUCCCCUGGGUUGGGUUCUCUUUGGGGAGCCCCCCAAGGCCUGCCCCACAGCAGCCCACCAAGUCUGGCCCAGUGACUGCCAUGGACCCCACACCGGCAGUAGGUCUGUGCCAGGGCAGACCCGAUAGCCCGCCCCAGGGGGUGCCUCUAGCUGAACGUGCGAGGCCUGUCCCUGCUGCAGUGGGGACCAUGGCUGGCCUGUUCCCUCAACCAGUCCCAGUGCACAUGGGCCCCACACAGCUCAGCAUCCGCACUGGCCAGGCUGGGUGGAGGGAGGACUCCAGACAGACCCUGCUACCUGCCGCCCUCCACACAGCCCCUGGCCUGCAGGGUGGCUCACCUGCACAGCACGUGGCUCCCUGACCUUGGAGGUCCCCCAAACGCCACGCACCUGCCCCUCCAGGCCCCCACUUGCCUGCUUGGUUCUCCCAUGUCUGGUCACCAGGUGGCGCCCAAGGCCAGGUUUUGCCGAGCCCAGAACACCAGAAGUGGUCCUGCCUGGGCCACGCCAGGUGCACCUGCCCUGGCCAAUGGUGGACAGGUGGCCAUGGCAUCGCCUGAGCUGCGCUUCUGUUCUGGGGGUGGAUGGCGCUUGCGCGGGGCAUCCAGUGACCACCUGCUACCAUCAUGGGUUGGUACGGAUCCCCAGCAGAUCUGGCAGUCUCUAACCUACGCCCCCCAACCCCCCUAACUCUGCCACAGGCAGCCUGCCCUGCCUGCCGGUGUGGGUCUGUCAUCAGGAUGGUGGUGGCUCACAGCCGGCUGGCAGGGGCUUGUCCUUCCCCGUGGCAGGGCCUGUGGGCAAGGCCUGUGCCAUCAGCCCUGCGUCUCUGCACAGGUGGCCCUUCCUUGGACCCUGGCCCGGCCCUCCUGGGUAAUUUGUGCUCCUCUUCCACACCCCAAGCCAAAUGCCACUUCCGGCAAGAAGGCUUUGGUGACCUCCCCGACCACGUCCGUGGGUGCUGACCCCAUCCCUGGCCAAUGGGGUCACCAUACUUCACAGUGGCGUUGGCAGCAGCCAGGACAGCUCAAGUGGCCGUGCAGCAGGCGGGGGUCACUGCUGUGAACAGCCGCCCCCGGAGCCGCCUCCACACCACACAGGGCAGCUGGCGGGCGGGGUGUGGGGCUGUGGCACUGGCUGCCUUGUGCUUCGCUGGUCCCAGUGGGGGCUCUGGGUGUGGUGAUGGAGAAUCAGUGCCUGCCCUCCAGCCUCGCUUCUUGGUGGCGGAGACCUCUGCCCACAGCGAGCCUUGGCGCAUGUCGCUGCAGCUGCAGGAACAAGCCAGGCCCCCGCGCCCUGGCCUUUAUGCCCCCGAGUUCUCCCUGUCUUGCCCUUUCUCCUUCAUUGCCCUAAAAGACCUCGGUGCCAGCAGACACACCUGCCACAGGGUCACUGAGGCAGCUGCCUCUGUGAAGCCCCCUCUCCCUCAGGAAGCUGUUUGGGGCCUCUCGGUACCCACUCCUGCCCUGCCCCAAACCCAGCCCUGCCUUCUGAGAGCACCUCUGGGUACCUCUCAUACAGCGCCGCGCUCAGGAGGGCUUCGGGGGGACUCAGCGGCUUUGUGACGAGGGCCCUGCCUGUCAGCCUCAGCUCCAGCCUGUCCCAGGGGCCUCAGAUUCUAAGAGGCAGCAGCGUUUACCCCAAAGGACAGAUGUGCUCCUGAGGAAGCCACAGCCUCUGCGGCAGUGCCAAGAGCCAUGGGCCUCCUGUUGGUAAAGGGACCGCCGGGUCCCUGUCCACCGGCCCCUCAGGAGCCGGUGGCGGCACGCGUGGGGCAAGGACCUCGGCCAGCUCUGUGCCAUUGGGCUGGAGGCUGAGGCAUGGGUCAGAGGGCCCAGCUGUGGUCUUCAGAGAGGGCCUGGGUGUUCCCUGCAUUCCCACCCUGCAGCCUAUAGCCCGUCACCUCUCCAGGACGCCAAGUGCAAGGAAGCCGUCCCGCCCCUUGGUGGGGUCGUCAUCAGCAGGUUUCAGGGCAGCCAGGGAACCCGGGGCCAUCUGUCUCCCCGGACACCCAGGUUCUCCACCCUGUGACAUCAGCUGACAACAGGAGCCAGGCUGGGCCACCCAAGGCCUCUUGUGCCUCAAGAGACAGAUACCCUCCUGCCACACCCCGGCAAAGCGUCGCUGCCCGGCCCCCUCCGUGCCAUCUCUAGGCCACUUUGUCCUGCGUGUAGGGCUGGUGGUGCUCACCCCACUGUGGGGCUGUGAGCAUCCAAUGGGGCGCUUGGUAUCCAGUGGCCGGCGAGGCGCUGGCCCAGCAGGAAGGGCCCAGCCUCAGCUCGCCGGCAUCAGAAGUCCCAGUCCUCCCAGCACAGGGCCUUGAGUCUGUCCCACAGGCCCAGCGGUGGGGAGUAGGGUUCAGGUUGGCUUGUCCUCUGAAUUCUAGGCCCCCAGCCUCCUCCUCAAGGUCAGCAAUGACCUCUCAGUCUCAGCAGGUGGCUGAGAUGGGGCAGCCCCUGGCCUUGCACGUUCAUGCCCACCACCACGUGUGCUCUGCUCGGAGGCCGCGCACUGGCCUGGGGCCCCUGGGGCCUGGGUGUGAACCUGGAGGCUGCAGCCCCAGGGCACGCUAAGGACUGAGCGCCUGCCUGUGGCUGUGGGGUGUAUGCAUGUGUGUGGCAUGUGUACAUGUAUGUGUGAGCAUGUGCACAUUCCUGUGUGUGUGUGUGUGCUGCGUGGCUGUGAGCACGUGUGUGCUGCGUGGCUGUGAGCACAUGUGUGCUGCGGGUUUGAGGGUGUAACGAAGUGGGACAAUUAGUCUGCCCCCCAGCAGCCUGUGGGUGGAGAAAGCUCUGAGGCCCCCCGACUGGGAUGGGGCCCUGCCAGGGGCUGGGAGGGCCAACUGGCAGGCUCUGCGUCCUGGGAACGCGCCCAGAGGAAGCCUGCACGGGCGGCGGCGGCGCCAUAGCAACGCGCACAAAGCGCUGUCCUACUUACACCCGCCCCCGCCCAUCUCGCUUCGCUGCAGGGGAGGGGGCAUAGGGCCUCUGGGGCUCCUGGGGGAGGGGGCAUAGGGCCUCUGGAGCUCCUGGGGGAGCCACGCACCCCGGCCUGUGGUCGCUCGGUGCCCCAGAAGCCUCAGGCCUCCUCCUGGCCUGGGCCAGGCCUGCAGACACUCCUGCCCAUCCACACACGGAGGUAAAGACGGGGUGCAGGGAGGUCCAGCACCCAGCAGGUGCCCCCCGCCCUGGGCAGCUGUGGACCUAGUGGCUCUGUAAGGCAUUGACGGUUUCCCAGCCCCGGAAAUCUGGGAGUCUUGGCUCUGCUGAUGACUGCAAGGCAAGCUCAGGCCUCAGGUGUCGGGGCUGGAGGUCAGGCCAGGAGCUGCUCGCAUGCCCUGCUCACAGGACGAGGCCCUUCACACCCUCUGCCCUACGCACUUGGCCUUCUGUCAUCCGCAUGGCCAGGACACCUCUGGGCCUGGCAGUGAGCCCUGCUGACCAGCACACCCCGUGCCUGCCUCCCGGACCCAGCCUGACCUGGGCCUGCUGCCUCCUCCUGCAGGAAGCCCACGUGGUCUGGCCUGAUGUGCUCAGCGCCUUGGGGAUGGAGCACGUGCCCAGUGCCUGGGAGGCAGAGGAACAGGCCUUGGGAGCUGGGCCUGAGUAGCAGUGGACAUCUGUGGGACUCUCAGGCCACCUGUCUCUCUGUGCUGGCCACACUGCUCUCUGCAUUGGCCACCCUGGGCCACUAGGCCCUAGGCCUCAAGACAGGGUACAGGGAGGUGGUGGGGGGGGAACAGUGUCCUGCGGGGGGCCAGGAAGCCAGGCCGAGGGCCAACAAGGCUGUGAGGACGCUUUGUGGGUCACCUGGACCCUGGGGACGGGAAGCCCUUGGCCACACAUGGGGGGUGGGUGUCACUCAACACCACGCAUUGAAAAUCAGAUAUUUUCCUGAGCUCUCCUGGAGGCCUGGGGUGGCCUGCUGCGUGCACUUGGGCUUGGCGGCUGUGGCCGCUGCCCUGCUGGGUGACCUGCUAGGUGACCAUGCUCAGCAGGGAUCUUCCCGCCUGCCCCAACCCAGGCCCUGGGGCUUCUGGGCAGCUCUGACUCGUCUGUCCUAGUUCCCCCUCCAGACUGGGCACCCCCGCCCCUCACCCACUGCUCCCUCACCCAUCAGAUGCAUCCCCUCUGUGUCCCCAGGGCCCUCACAGGGCCUGCCUGGGCCAGCGCCCAGCAGCCAUCUGCAGAAUGAAGGAAUGGGCUGAAUGAACGAAUGAAGCUUGAAGGGGCGGCCCCAUGCACCCCAUGUGUAAGUUGGGGGCUUGGUUAUCUGUUUGCACCAAGUGACCCUCUCCCAGGGUCAGAGUAGUUGCCGUCCCCUCCCCCACCUCGGCCCCCCCUAAUUUAUGCUACGAGGGGAGCCAGCCACUCGCUGGUCCCCUGCCUGGCAGCGGCUUUGUCCCCAGGCGGAUUCCCAACGGCUGCCUUUGGGAAGAAAGGGCCCUUCUCCGGCCGGUGGUGAGGUCACCAGGAGGGGCCUGGCGCACACAAAGGCCGCCCUCCCUGCCCCGCCCUGCUGGCAGCUGCCUCUUUGUCCCCAGGAGAGACGCUGAGGGGCCCCAGCUCAGCCUUGGAGGAGCCUGGGCUUCCAUCCCAGGCGGGGCACAGAGCGGGGGAGCAGCAGGAGCAACCCCAACCCUGACUUUGCUCCUGAUCAAGUGGCAACACCUGUUGAGGGGCAGCCCCUCCAGAGGGGGAGGGGCUGUGUCCAGCUGUCCGCCCGGGUCCCCAGGAGAGGCAGGCAGGCUUCUGGGGGUGGGGACGGCAGCUGCAGGAAGGGGUGAGGAACCUGAGGUGUUAGGAGCUGCCUGGGCAGUGUGACCCUGGUGAUGGGGGCUCUGGGGCAACCAUCCAGACGUGUGGACCAGCUGCUAAAACCAUGCCUCCCUGCCGUGCACGCGGUGGAAUGAGGGGCUGGCAGGCCUGGGGCACUCCUGGGCACUUCCAAUGCCAGCCUCAAGGAGACUCCCACGAGCCCAGUUCGGGAGCUCCUGAGGGUACCCCUGGGACGGGCAGGGGACUGAGGCUCAGAGAGGGCAAGGCCUUUGGCCAAAGCCCCGCCCAGGGUGGUAGGGCUGGGACCCGCCCCUGCCCCAGCCUCCCUGCCUUCCCCAGGCAGAGCACAAAGGAGGCGUCCCUCCCCAUGGAGGGCACUGGAUACCUCCUGGUGUGGGGCAAAGGGCCCAGUGAGGCCAGCGAGGAACGGGUGGCAGAGACCAGAGUGGCAAAAGCCAUGCAAACAGAGCAGCGGGGGCUGAGACCACCGGAGGGUGGCGGCACUGCCCGGCGGGUUCCACUGUGUGUUCACGGAGCGCCUACUGUACGCCUGGCUCACCCAGGACGGAAAGGAACUGUGUACACUCUUGGCCCACACGGAAUGUGUGCUUUAGCCGGGACCCUGGGUGCCACUGCAGACAGCAGCUGGGGUCCGACCUCUACCCUCAGGGCUGGGGCAAGAGGCAGGGGCUGAGGCAGAGGGACGGAGGGCGUGUGUUGGGGGAGGGCGAGGGCUGGCCGCUGUGCCCAGAAGCUCAAGAACCGUCUGUGAGGUGGGGAAGGCCACCGGGCACGGCGACCUCCUAGCCUCCCUCCUCCUGGCCACCAGCUGGGCCCAGAGCUCCUUAGCAGGGCCAUCCACGGAGGGGGAGGAUGUGGAGCCUGAAGGGAGCCACUGGACAGGGACAGCCACAGGGGCCCUGUGGCUCUGGCAGAGCCUGGCUGGCAGGGCUGGGGGCUACUGAGUCUGGGGCCAGGAGAGGGGUGGCAGGGGAUGGAGGCUCCACCAGAACUCCAAGCCCUGUUCUGAACCCCAUGAGGGCCUGCCUACACCUGGGGGCACCAGCCAGGCAGGCACAGUCAGAGGCAGGAGAGGCGGGGAGUGCCGGCGGCCCCGAGACAGAGGCCACGAAGAGGUGAGCAGGCCAGAGCUCGGGGCUGCAGGAGCCAUCGAGGCACCCUCCGACCAGGUCCUCAGUUGGGUGGGGGCUGGCAUCAGGGAGUGUUGAAGCCCCACCAGGAGGGUGGCUGCCCUUCACCCUGAGGGGCCAGGCAGCCAGUGAGCCUCAAUGGCCUGAGGGUGGGGGUGCACGCCACAUUGCUGAGGGACAGGUGUGGCCUGGGCCCCUCAGGGUUUCCCCGCCAAGAAGCGUCUGCUUCCCCGUUGCCUGGCACCCAGAAUGUCUAUUGUGCCUGUCGCCCCCACUGUCCCCACCCCAUCCAUGGCCAGCCCCCCGCCCACAGCUGGCCCAGCAUUCCUCUGCAGGGCCCGUGUCUCUGCAGGCCCAGGGCUUCCAGGCAGGGGCCAGGCCCCGGACUGCAUUCAGCCUACAUGUGCCAUGCCAGCACCCUGGGUGACAGGCUGGGUCCUGCCAGCUACCAGUGCUGGCCACUGGCCUGGGGCAUCUCUCCUUUUUUUAUUUUUUAAUCAUUUGUAGAGACAGGGUUUCCCUGUGUUGCCCAGGCUGGGCUCAAGCGAUCCUCCCAUCUUGGCCUCAGGCAUGAGCCACCACACCCAGUCUCCUUUUUUCAAAAAUAAAAACUUUUGGAAAUUGUCAAAGAAAUGCACCAGCAGAAUCGUGUGAAGAAUCCUGUACGCAGCUCCCAGGAGUCUGUGGCCAGCCUGGUUUGAGGUCUACUCCCCUUCCUCCCCAACCCUGUUAUUCAGAGUUGGAUCUCAGCCACCCUGUCAUUCCCCAGCACUUUGUCAGCAUGCUCGCAAAUGUGGCCACUCCUUAAACUCACAAAACGGCCACUCAAGCUUCAAGCUUCCCAACUGUCCUAUUUUGUAAAAGACAUUUGGUUUAUUCAAACUGGGGCCCAGCGGGGUCUGCGCACAGCUACCUGCUGUUGCUGCCUCAGUUUCUCUCUGGGAGCACGAGGGCAUUCACAGGGGAGCAGCAGGGAGCGACAGGGUCUGGGGCUCAGAAGCAGACAGUCCAGCCACACCGGGUGAAACUGAGCUGCAACUGACAGUGCAGCCUCAGAGGAUCAACCAGCUGCUUGCAGGAAGCUGCCAGAGAGCUGCCGCUUCAGUUAAUAACGGGGGUUUUUAUUUAAGAAAUAAAAAGAAAUGUUUGCGAGA
Homo sapiens (human) is the source of this 12853-nucleotide long non-coding RNA. RefSeq lists it as uncharacterized. The record is from RefSeq and is a predicted model, not a curated record. The transcript has 2 exons. NCBI's taxonomy places the organism in Eukaryota, Metazoa, Chordata, Mammalia, Primates, Hominidae.